GGGAUAACUGGCUUGUGGCAGC
This 22-nucleotide small nuclear RNA is filed under the name Arabidopsis thaliana (thale cress). Its description in RNAcentral is "snRNA_00213". The record is from RNAcentral. Lineage: Eukaryota; Viridiplantae; Streptophyta; Magnoliopsida; Brassicales; Brassicaceae. RNAcentral also lists the same sequence under 1 other name.